This 441-nucleotide ribosomal RNA is filed under the name uncultured bacterium. RNAcentral describes it as "partial 16S ribosomal RNA". It matches the Rfam family "Bacterial small subunit ribosomal RNA", at positions 338 to 795 of the family's 1533-position model. The record is from RNAcentral.
CCUACGGGUGGCAGCAGUGGGGAAUAUUGCACAAUGGGGGAAACCCUGAUGCAGCGACGCCGCGUGAGUGAAGAUGUCUUUCGGUCUGUAAAGCUCUAUCAGCAGGGAAGAAGAAAGACGGUACCUGACUAAGAAGCCCCGGCUAACUACGUGCCAGCAGCCGCGGUCAUACGUAGGGGGCCAGCGUUAUCCGGAUUUCCUGGGUGUAAAGGGAGGGUAGACGGCUGUGCAUGUCUGAAGUGAAAGCCAAGGGCUCAACCCUGGGACUGCUUUGGAAACUGUGGAGCUAGAGUGCUGGAGAGGUAAGAGGAAUGCCUAGUGUAGCGGUGAAAUGCGUAGAUAUUAGGAGGAACACCAGUGGCGAAGGCGGCUUACUGGACAGUAACUGACGUUGAGGCUCGAAAGCGUGGGGAGCAAACAGGAUUAGAUACCCCAGUAGUC